This 228-nucleotide ribosomal RNA is filed under the name uncultured bacterium. RNAcentral's name for it is "partial 16S ribosomal RNA". It matches the Rfam family "Bacterial small subunit ribosomal RNA", at positions 568 to 795 of the family's 1533-position model. The record is from RNAcentral.
CAUGUAGGCGGCAUGACAAGUCUGGUGUGAAAUAUCUCGGCUCAAUCGAGAAAACGCACUGGAAACUGUCAAGCUUGAGUAUCGGAGGGGAAGCUAGAAUUCCUGGUGUAGGGGUGAAAUCUGUAGAUAUCAGGAAGAAUACCGGUGGCGAAGGCGAGCUUCUGGCCAGAUACUGACGCUGAGAUGCGAAAGCGUGGGGAGCGAACAGGAUUAGAUACCCUGGUAGUC